RNAcentral lists this transfer-messenger RNA (394 nucleotides) under Patescibacteria group. RNAcentral's name for it is "UBA12026 sp000989765 Standard tmRNA". It matches the Rfam family "transfer-messenger RNA". From Rfam's summary of the family: Bacterial tmRNA, also known as 10Sa RNA or SsrA, is named for its dual tRNA and mRNA-like properties. Its role is to liberate the mRNA from a stalled ribosome. To accomplish this part of the tmRNA is used as a reading frame that ends in a translation stop signal. The record is from RNAcentral. RNAcentral also lists the same sequence under 3 other names.
GGGGAUGACCGGUUUCGACGGGAAGCUCUUUUACAAAACUGCAAGCCAAGUUUGAUAAACACUUGUCAAAAGAUAUCAAAAACUAAAAGCAAAACAAAAUUUUGCUCCAGCUUUAGCUUAUGCUGGUGCCUAUAACAAUAGGUAUCUUUUCGCAGAACUAUAAGCGGCGUCCUGAAGUCUGAUUCUCGAUCGGACCGAAUGGGUGUAAACCAAUUCGAGAUGCUUUACAGAUUUUAAUGGUUUAGAGAUCUGUGACUAAAGACAAAUAAAUCUUACUUUAGAAUUCCUGUUGGUUGGAUAAUUUUUAAAGGAAAUUUUAAAAAACUAAAUACGCUUGUAGAAGUUUUGUUAGGUAGUUUUUCGGAUGAGGGUUCGAUUCCCUCCAUCUCCACUU